GCCUGGGUGGCUUAGUCGGUUAAGCGUCUGACUUCGGCUCAGGUCAUGAUCUCACGGUUCGUGAGUUCAAGCCCCGCGUCGGGCU
RNAcentral lists this transfer RNA (85 nucleotides) under Felis catus (domestic cat). It matches the Rfam family "tRNA". From Rfam's summary of the family: Transfer RNA (tRNA) molecules are approximately 80 nucleotides in length. The record is from Rfam by way of RNAcentral. Lineage: Eukaryota; Metazoa; Chordata; Mammalia; Carnivora; Felidae.